RNAcentral lists this long non-coding RNA (909 nucleotides) under Nicotiana tabacum (common tobacco). Its description in RNAcentral is "long non-coding RNA (NTAB_LNC001900)". Lineage: Eukaryota; Viridiplantae; Streptophyta; Magnoliopsida; Solanales; Solanaceae. The record is from RNAcentral.
GUUCUGGAAGCAAACUUAUGCUCUUUUGAACUAGCUGCAUAACAGAGAUAUCCAAACACUCUAAGAUGUGAAAGAGAAGGAGAUUGCAAAUGAAGCAUCUCAAAAGGAGACUUGUCAUGUAGAACUCUAAUGGUAGGCUAGGAGCCAAUGUUUUUAACUAUAAUUUGUACUCUAGUUACUACACUUUGAUUGGAUUUAACCCUAAUUGUUAGUACUUUGUACUUAUUACGUAUGUUAUACUGUGUAGGAUGUGAUUUCGAGUGGAGAAACAAGAUUGAAGAUAAAAUGGAUGAUUUGAAGCUUUGAAGUCUGAGUAGAAGCCCAAGAAAUUAAGUCGGGAUCAUGUUCAGGGGUCGAGGACCAAGUAUGGAAGUCAAAAAGUGAGAAAAAAGAUUACUCUAGAAAAAAUGCACUAUCGCGCCGUGCCAUGCGCCGCGGGGCAUGGGUUGCUAGUGCAAAAUUCUUACAGAGUGAAAACAAAAUCAACUCUAUGAACUUUUUCACUAAUGCGGUGCAUGGUACGCCGCCCCGGGCACUGCGCCUAUGUAAUUUCCUUAGAGUAAUUUUCCACUUCGGCUAGAAAAGGGUAGUUUUGUCGAGUCUUGUUCCUACAUGGUAUAAAUACACCAACAACGUAAUUUUUAGAGGGCUUUUGACCUUGGAAGCUUUUGGAGAGCAUUGGAGGCUACACGACACGCGAUUUUAUCAUAUUUCCAUCAAUUCAAUAUGAGAGCUUGGAUUGUAACGUUGGAUUGAUAUUUUCUUACUCUUUAAUUCUAUUUGUGAUUACCUCCUCCAUGAUUAUGGAGUAGUUUCUAUUAGGGGUUGACAUGAUUUUGUGACUCGAUUAUUAUCUAUGGAUUUGAUCAUUAUUUGAUUGCUUGAGUUUAUUAAAAGAGCUUUAACGCU